This is a long non-coding RNA of Oryctolagus cuniculus (rabbit), 1603 nucleotides long. Lineage: Eukaryota; Metazoa; Chordata; Mammalia; Lagomorpha; Leporidae. The record is from Ensembl.
AGACGUCCUUGAAGCAGCGUUUGGACUUCAGAGAUCCGAGUAGUCUCAACACUCGAACCCCGCCCCUUGGUUUUAAAGCCUCGUGGUCUCCCCUGCCCACGUCCACCCCUGCCAGGUGACGCCAGAGCCCUGCUCUCGUGGCUUCUACGACAAAGUCCGCGGAGCGCUCGGAUCCCUGCUGCCCGUGCCACAGGUGCAACGUAGGCCACGCUCUUCCCACUCUGGAGCCCCACGGAAGGAACUGCCCACGAGGGGCCCCGUCACCCAGCGGGACGGCCACUGUGGAACCGCGCCGAGGCCCUAAGCGCUUCCCUUCUGAUGGCUGAGCUGCCGCGCUGUUCUUUCAGCUAAAACAAAUGCAAUGGCUGAGGCUCGUGUCACAGAGCUGCAAAUGCACCCUUCUUGUGGCCGGCCGGAGCGUCGGGGUCACGUGGCAAGCGUGGGCCUGCCUAGGGAGCGGCAGCAGGAGUGAUGAGCUCCACCGUCACCGGAGAGGGUCAAAGAGCCUUGAAAAAACUGAGUGAGAAACCAGAAGGAAGCAGCAGGGGCAGACUGGCCAUGUGGCACGGGGGCAGCUCGCCGGACAGAGUGCCAGGAAACACAGGCGAAGCCGGCGCGGCACCCCGUGAGAACCAACUCCAGAUGCCAGGAGAGGCCCUCACCCCUUCCUCGGGCAGCACCCUCCUACUGGACCCUACCACGGGACCCCACUGCUUAAAGGCCCCGCCGCAUCUUAAUACCGCCACGCUGGGGACCACCCUUCCUGCUCAGAAUCCCUUGGGGUUCACCCACGUCCAGACCACCACAGGUGUCACUGAAGUAGCGGAGCCACAGGGAAGAGUAGCUUUGCGAAGAGAACGGAGAACGCUGUCCUGCGUGUGAAGGUAGCGCCUGGGGCUUUAGUCUGUGGUGGCCAUUGCUCUAUCUUGGGGCCAAGAAGCCACCGCCAAAGUCUGACCCUAAAAGUCUAUUUUGUGUGGAGCAGGGGGCUAGGCCUAUACUUGGGGGUGCCGGCAUCCCACUCGGGGGCGCUGGCUGCGUCCCGGCUCCUCCCCUUCCAGCCCAGCUCCCUGCUAAUGAGCGGGGGAAGGCAGCAGGAGACGGCCCGAGAGCUUGGGCCCCUGCACCCACACGGAGACCCACAUGGAGCUCCCAGCUCCUGGCUUCCCCCUGGCCCAGCCCCAGCUAUUGCGGGCAGUUGGGGAGUGAACCAGCAGAUGGAAGGUUUCUCUGUUUCUUCCCCUCUCUGUCACUUUGACUUUCAAGUAAAUCAAUCUUUUCAAAAAAAUGUAUUAUCCUGGGGCCAGCAAUGUGGCAUGGUGGGUAAAGCCACCGUCUGUGUUUCUGGUUCAAGCCCCGGCUGCUCCUCUUCCAAUCCAGCUCUCUGCUAAUGCACCUGGGACAGCAGUGGAAGAUGGGCCAAUAAUCCUUGAACCCAGACGGCAGACCCAGAAGACGCUCCUGGCUCCUGGCUUCAGAGUGGCCCAGCCCCGGUCAUUUCAGCCAUUUGGGGAGUGGACCAGAAGAUUCAUUCUCUCUCUCUGUCUCUCUCUCUCUCUCUCUCUAACUCUGCCUUUCAAAUAAAUAAAUCUUUAAAAUAACA